This 519-nucleotide ribosomal RNA is filed under the name uncultured bacterium. RNAcentral's name for it is "bacterial SSU rRNA". It matches the Rfam family "Bacterial small subunit ribosomal RNA", at positions 501 to 1017 of the family's 1533-position model. The record is from RNAcentral.
CUACGUGCCAGCAGCCGCGGUAAUACGUAGGGCGCGAGCGUUGUCCGGAAUUAUUGGGCGUAAAGGGCUUGUAGGCGGUUGGUCGCGUCUGCCGUGAAAUUCUCUGGCUUAACUGGGGGCGUGCGGUGGGUACGGGCUGACUUGAGUGCGGUAGGGGAGACUGGAACUCCUGGUGUAGCGGUGGAAUGCGCAGAUAUCAGGAAGAACACCGGUGGCGAAGGCGGGUCUCUGGGCCGUUACUGACGCUGAGGAGCGAAAGCGUGGGGAGCGAACAGGAUUAGAUACCCUGGUAGUCCACGCUGUAAACGUUGGGCACUAGGUGUGGGGGCCACCCGUGGUUUCUGCGCCGUAGCUAACGCUUUAAGUGCCCCGCCUGGGGAGUACGGCCGCAAGGCUAAAACUCAAAGGAAUUGACGGGGGCCCGCACAAGCGGCGGAGCAUGCGGAUUAAUUCGAUGCAACGCGAAGAACCUUACCAAGGCUUGACAUGUUAACCGUGGCUCUAGAGAUAGGGUUUACC